This 301-nucleotide ribosomal RNA is filed under the name uncultured bacterium. RNAcentral's name for it is "partial 16S ribosomal RNA". It matches the Rfam family "Bacterial small subunit ribosomal RNA", at positions 509 to 807 of the family's 1533-position model. The record is from RNAcentral.
CAGUCGCCGCGGUAAUACGAAGGGGGCUAGCGUUGUUCGGAACUACUGGGCGUAAAGCGCACGUAGGCGGAUUUCUAAGUCAGGGGUGAAAUCCCGAGGCUCAACCUCGGAACUGCCUUUGAUACUGGAGAUCUUGAGUUCGGAAGAGGUUGGUGGAACAGCUAGUGUAGAGGUGAAAUUCGUAGAUAUUAGCUAGAACACCAGUGGCGAAGGCGGCCAACUGGUCCGAUACUGACGCUGAGGUGCGAAAGCGUGGGGAGCAAACAGGAUUAGAUACUCCCGUAGUCCCUGUCUCUUAUAC